ACUUGCCACUCUGACAGGAUGGGAACCUUUUGAAGUCUCAGAUAAUGGAAAGUUCAUCACCCAAGCUCGAAACCCAAGAUGCAGCAAACUGAACUGGCCAGGCUGAGAGGUGACAUAAGUGCCGGGAUCAUUUCUGGAGCAGCAAGGCAGGACAUCUUCUGCAUUGGGAAGGGUGAAAAGAGCCAAGGAGCAAAGUCAGCCAAGAGUUAUCUAGACUGGCAGAGCAAGUUCAAGGAGCUCUUCAGCUUUAUCAAGAAAUGCUUUCCAGAGUCCUCUUCUUUUGCACUGAAGUGCGGAUGUUGUUGCAUCUGUGACAGAAGUCUUUUGGUAGGAAUAAUGUCUUUAUCAGCUUUUCAGCUUUCAGGUGCACAGACUUACCUCUGAGCCACCAGCACCCAGAGAUGUUUUCUGUAAUCUGCUGGAAAAUGUGUGUACCUGAUAGGGUGCUUGUCCAAGUGUAUAUGUUGGUCUAUUGAAGCAGACUGGCUUUAUCUUAGAACUUGGUUUUUGCAGCUCACUCCUCUCUGCUUGUCACUGUUUUACCAGACAUCAUCAUGCUGGCCAUCUCUGCAUGUGGCUCUGUAUUUCCUGACAUGGCCUGAGGAUGCAGGAGGUAUUUUUGAGUUACCUGGAGAAAACCCACCUUGGGAAGCCUCUGUGAACUGAAGUGCUGAGGUUGUGCCAGUGUUUCCUUCGCUGUACAUGUUUCACUCGGCCAAAGUUACUGUUGUGUAGCAAAAAGAAACAAGAACAGACUGGGAUCACCUAGCAGAGCUCUGGGAUAGCUAAUGCUUUUGCUCAGACAAGCCUGAGCAACGUCCUUUAUGUGUAUCAGACAAACUCCUGGCACCCUGUACCUGCAGUUUCAGCUGAGAGACCUGGUGUCAUUGGGACCACCUGAGCCAGAGGCAGGGAAUAGGAAGUCAUCAUCUUAGCCAUAAACGGAACAGGACUUACCUCCUGCUUUGAAAGAUGCUGCCUGAUUUGUCCUUUGAGACUCUGCAAGAAAGAGUUGCUGCUCCAGCUUUCAUUCACUCCCUGGUCCUGAAAUAGUUUCUGGAUCUGAGCCAUCUCUUUUCAAGAUUGUUGUCUUGGACCUGCCUGCUUUCCUGCUCAAGCCAAGAUUGUUGCUGUCCAAACUGCACUGUGAGAUGUGCACAUCUUGACCGGCAGUGGGGCUGAGCUCCUUGGCACCCUCAUGAAGAGAUGCUCAGUUUUACUCAGCCUGGGACACUGGUGACUAAAAUGUUCAAUUGC
Non-coding RNA from Cyanistes caeruleus (blue tit), 1257 nucleotides. The record is from RefSeq and is a predicted model, not a curated record. NCBI's taxonomy places the organism in Eukaryota, Metazoa, Chordata, Aves, Passeriformes, Paridae.